GCGGCGAGUGAAGCGGCAAAAGCUCAAAUUUGAAAUCUGGCGCCUUCGGUGUCCGAGUUGUAAUUUGAAGAUUGUAACCUUGGGGUUGGCUCUUGUCUAUGUUUCUUGGAACAGGACGUCACAGAGGGUGAGAAUCCCGUGCGAUGAGAUGCCCAAUUCUAUGUAAGGUGCUUUCGAAGAGUCGAGUUGUUUGGGAAUGCAGCUCUAAGUGGGUGGUAAAUUCCAUCUAAAGCUAAAUAUUGGCGAGAGACCGAUAGCGAACAAGUACAGUGAUGGAAAGAUGAAAAGAACUUUGAAAAGAGAGUGAAAAAGUACGUGAAAUUGUUGAAAGGGAAGGGUUUGAGAUCAGACUCGAUAUUUUGUGAGCCUUGCCUUCGUGGCGGGGUGACCCGCAGCUUAUCGGGCCAGCAUCGGUUUGGGCGGUAGGAUAAUGGCGUAGGAAUGUGACUUUACUUCGGUGAAGUGUUAUAGCCUGCGUUGAUGCUGCCUGCCUAGACCGAGGACUGCGAUUUUAUCAAGGAUGCUGGCAUAAUGAUCCCAAACCGCCAGUCUU
This 553-nucleotide ribosomal RNA is filed under the name Meyerozyma guilliermondii. RNAcentral describes it as "partial large subunit ribosomal RNA". It matches the Rfam family "Eukaryotic large subunit ribosomal RNA", at positions 86 to 655 of the family's 3401-position model. The record is from RNAcentral. Lineage: Eukaryota; Fungi; Ascomycota; Pichiomycetes; Serinales; Debaryomycetaceae.